Molecule: long non-coding RNA, 1117 nt
Organism: Dromaius novaehollandiae (emu)
Lineage: Eukaryota; Metazoa; Chordata; Aves; Casuariiformes; Dromaiidae
Exons: 4
Source: RefSeq, a predicted model, not a curated record
UGCUCCUGAGCCUGUGGCAGAAAUACUGGCCAGUUUCUUGAAGCUCCAGGUGUAAAGCUCAGCAUGCCCUUCAGCGUCUUGCUGGAUCCAAGGUGGUCAUGUCCUCCCUGGAAGAUCAUGGUCUGAAAUAGAGAAGCAGGGGAAAGAGACCAGAUGGGCUUUUGGCUGUGAUCUGAGAAGAGCUGCUGAUUGGAGGUGAAAUAUUUGCACUGUGAUGAAACAAAGAACAAGAAGACAAAGAGGUUUGUUUCACUUUGAGAGAUGUCCUGUAACACCAGAAGAUGCUCGUGAGCUCAUCUUUCAUCCCCUGGCUGGCUGGAAUAAACGCCGUGUGCUGCAUGACUUGGGGCAAACCUGGGAGGACGUGACUCCUGGACGGGAGCUGACGGUGAGCUGCGGCUGUGGAGCUUCGUGCCUUGCAGAGGGCACCAAAGAAAUCAAAUAAUGCAGGGUUUCCACCACCGCUGCUGAUGGACAAAUAAGACAUGUCCUUGCAAGUGACAUUCUCUUCUCAAGUUCUGUCACCAACUUGACCUGUGUCUUCACAAGGAAAGGAGCUAAACCACCGACCUUUGUGUGCAAGACCCUCAUGCUCCCUUGCCCCCAAGCUGCAGUGUCCCAGGACAGGAUGGAUGUUCUCGCCUUCUCCUUCUCCAAGCUCAUCUCUUGCGCUGAGGAGCCUGGCUGUGGUUUAGAUCUUUUUGUGAGUGUUGUGCGACCUUAACCAGAUGCGUGGGCUUCUCUGAAUAGGAGGUUUAUUGGAAACUGUGGGGAAGCCCUCCCAGCCCUUUUUCCCGUGAGAUCCCCUCCAGUGGGAAGUAAGACUCCAGGAAGAAAUGUCAGGAGUAAAUAGCACGCUCUCAGCAUCAAGGUCACCCCCUCCCCAAAGAAAUAGGUCUACCAGAAAUCAGCAGCUCGCAUUUAGAGUUGAUUUUGGUCUAGUGACUCUUGUCAUAUGAAGAAGAUGGAGAUAUAGCUAUGGUAAACAAAUAGGCAGCAAUAAAUAGUGGCAGUAUGGUCUCUCGGCACGUUUUCAGUGAACUGCAAAUGAUCCUGCUCUAUAGCUGAUCUUCAACCAACCAGAACCAGUCAAAUAUAUAUAUAACUUUUUUUUUUU